ACCAUCUCUCUUCUCUUCCUUCCUCUUAUCUUACUUCUUACUUCGCUCGAGCACCACCGUCACCAUUUCAAAAGUUACUCCUGAAGAAGAAAGUCGCCAGAAGAUAAGUUUAGUCUUUCAUGUUCUUUGUAUUUCAAUUAUAAUCUCUAAGUCUUCGAUUUGAAAUCGAUUUUUAGAAAAAAUAUUUUUAGGGUUUUGAAAACCCAAAUAUCUGUUUUUAUCAAAAAAAUCUCGAGCAAAAUAUGAUCAGAGCUUAGAUCUGUAUUCUCCUCAUCUCAAUCUUUCUAUUGAGAUCAAAAUCUCGAAAAAAUUGAAUAAAAAGUUUCUAGGGUUCUUGAUUGAAAAUCAUGAAAUCUCUUUAUCAUUAUUCUUGAUUGAAAAUCGGUCUUUAGAUCCGUAAUCAGCGUCAUUGAGUCUUUAUUACCCAUAAAAUAAAUUUGAUUUUCAUCGACUUUCAAUUUUCAACCUCAUAUUGAUGAACUUAAUAUCAAAAUCUGUUUAGCAGUUUGAUAUAUGCACCAGCAGAUGUAAUUUGAUAACAUGACUCGAGCUAUAUAUGUGUCUAACUAUUUGUUACUUGUUCAAUUUUAGGUAUUGGAGUCUCAACCAGAUGAACUAGUUCCAACUGUUGUUUCUCCUGAUGGUGUCUGUUUUCUUUCUUCAACUUUUUCAGGUGUCUUGGCAGGAAUAAGUGGUUAUGUAGCUCAGAAGCAGUCUGAUAUACAAAAUUCAAUUGAAACGCCUUCGUUUUAAAGUGAUCAGGGAGCAAGAUGAGGAGAUUGAAGCAGAUUGAGCUUAUUAUCAGCUGGAAGUGAUGUGUCACCUAAAGUGACUAAAGAUAGUCUCACUCUUGCUGAAAGCAUUGAUUUUAAAGACACUAAGAACAUUGGUUCCAGCCUUGUAAAGCGCAAAUGCCACUAACGAUGUAGCCGGUGAUGUAGUAUGGGGUGGGUGUAGGAGAUGGUGGACGCAGGGAUUUGUAGUAGUAAGGAACAGGUAUCGGAUAUGAGCUAAUUCCAAGCUGCUGCUGGUGGUGAAUUGUAGUAGAACACCUAUGUCCUUGGCUCAGUUCUAGGAAGACAAAAUAAGUAUUAGCACAAGGAUUUUGCUAGUAAAGGGUUCAUGCACUGAAUGUGCACUGAGUUCUCAAGAGGACUGAUGGCCUAGAUGCUGCUGGAAGCACCAAAAGUCUUGAUUGGUUUGCUCAUUGGAGCUCUUCAAAUCUAGGCAAAUUUAAGAUGGUGAAAGAACUUCGCAGGAAGUGCAGCUCUUAAGAUGGUGAAACAACUUCAUAGGCAGUUUAACACCUUUCCUUGUCUCAUAAAAGGUACUGCAAAUCCAGACAUUCGAAAUGGCUUUCAUGAUUACACAUUUCCUAUAUUAUGUGUUAGUUUGGUUAUGAUGCAGUUGUAUCUAGAGAAGAAUCAUAUAUUUGUCUUAUAGCUUUCAUUUCUCUGUUGAAGACAUAGGAUGUUAGACUUCUUUAUUGUUUGAAACAUUAUGUAACAUUCUGUUGGUAUUUGGUAUAGUAGUGAGUGUAUUGACAUUAUCCAAGUGACAAUUUUUGUUCCCAUGAUUCAUGUAAUGUUCUCCUAACUUUGUUGUGUAAUAUGAAACUUUUUUAUGACCUAGAAUGAAGAUAUUUCUUUUUCUGUUUCUAGAAUUGGAUGAAU
Molecule: long non-coding RNA, 1673 nt
Organism: Papaver somniferum (opium poppy)
Lineage: Eukaryota; Viridiplantae; Streptophyta; Magnoliopsida; Ranunculales; Papaveraceae
Exons: 6
Source: RefSeq, a predicted model, not a curated record